Molecule: unclassified non-coding RNA, 329 nt
Filed under: plant metagenome
Description: partial contains 5.8S ribosomal RNA, internal transcribed spacer 2, and large subunit ribosomal RNA
Rfam family: 5.8S ribosomal RNA (bases 1-105)
Source: RNAcentral
GAAAUGCGAUAAGUAAUGUGAAUUGCAGAAUUCAGUGAAUCAUCGAAUCUUUGAACGCACAUUGCGCCCGUCAGCAUUCUGGCGGGCAUGCCUGUUCGAGCGUCAUUUCAACCCUCAGGACCCCCCUUUCGCGGGGAGGGACCUGGCGUUGGGGAUCGGCCCGCCCCCCGCGGCGGCGCCGUCCCCGAAAUCUAGUGGCGGUCUCGCUGCAGCCUCCCCUGCGUAGUAGUUACAACCUCGCAUCGGAGCGCGGCGCGGCCACGCCGUAAAACCCCCGACUUUCUGAACGUUGACCUCGGAUCAGGUAGGAAUACCCGCUGAACUUAAGA